AGCUCCAAUAGCGUAUAUUAAAGUUGUUGCAGUUAAAAAGCUCGUAGUUGGAUUUCGGAGUGGGCCAGUUGGUCCGCCUUUAAUGGUGUGUUACUGGCUGGUCCGUUCUUCUUCGCAAAGACUGCGCUUUCUCUUCAUUGAGUGGGCGUAGGAUUUACGGCGUUUACUUUGAAAAAAUUAGAGUGUUCAAAGCAGGCAAUCGCUUGAAUACAUGAGCAUGGAAUAAUGGAAUAGGACUUUGGUCUUAUUUUGUUGGUUUCUGAGACCGAAGUAAUGAUUAAGAGGGACAGUUGGGGGCAUUCGUAUUUCGUUGUCAGAGGUGAAAUUCUUGGAUUUACGAAAGACGAACAAUUGCGAAAGCAUUUGCCAAGAAUGUUUUCA
This 381-nucleotide ribosomal RNA is filed under the name uncultured eukaryote. RNAcentral's name for it is "SSU rRNA". It matches the Rfam family "Eukaryotic small subunit ribosomal RNA", at positions 587 to 972 of the family's 1831-position model. The record is from RNAcentral.